ACGGCUCAGUAACACGUGGACAACCUGCCCUUAGGUUGGGUAUAAACCCGGGAAACUGGGUAUAAUACCCGAUAGGUCUCGAUUGCUGGAAUGCAUCGAGAUUUAAAGCUCCGGCGCCUAAGGAUGGGUCUGCGGCCUAUCAGGUAGUAGUGGGUGUAGCGUACCUACUAGCCUACGACGGGUACGGGUUGUGAGAGCAAGAGCCCGGAGAUGGAUUCUGAGACACGAAUCCAGGCCCUACGGGGUGCAGCAGGCGCGAAAACUUUACAAUGCUGGCAACAGCGAUAAGGGAACCUCGAGUGCCAGGUUACAAAUCUGGCUGUCGAGAUGCCUAAAAAGCAUUUCAUAGCAAGGGCCAGGCAAGACCGGUGCCAGCCGCCGCGGUAACACCGGCGGCUCGAGUGGUAACCGUUAUUAUUGGGUCUAAAGGGUCUGUAGCCGGCCGGAUAAGUCUCUUGAGAAAUCUGGCAGCUUAACUGUCAGGCUUUCAGGAGAUACUGUCUGGCUCGAGGCCGGGAGAGGUGAGAGGUACUUCAGGGGUAGGGGUGAAAUCUUGUAAUCCUUGAAGGACCACCAGUGGCGAAGGCGUCUCACCAGAACGGACCUGACGGCAAGGGACGAAAGCUAGGGGCACGAACCGGAUUAGAUACCCGGGUAGUCCUAGCCGUAAACGAUACUCGCUAGGUGUCGGCCACGGUGCGACCGUUGUCGGUGCCGUAGGGAAGCCGUGAAGCGAGCCACCUGGGAAGUACGGCCGCAAGGCUGAAACUUAAAGGAAUUGGCGGGGGAG
RNAcentral lists this ribosomal RNA (790 nucleotides) under uncultured archaeon. RNAcentral describes it as "bacterial SSU rRNA". It matches the Rfam family "Archaeal small subunit ribosomal RNA", at positions 85 to 876 of the family's 1478-position model. The record is from RNAcentral.